CUUCGAAGUACGGUAAUGGAAUAUGUAGAAUUUUUUUGUCACGAAUUGCGCCAUGCACGCGACCCUGAUUUACCAUUUCGGAUAGUUUCUGGAACGCACGAACAAAACGCCGCUAUUUGGAUAUAACGAUGGAUUAUUUGGGACCAAACCAACAUUUGUUAUUGAAGUAGAAGUCCUGGGAGUGCAUUCUGACGAAGACAACAAAGGACCUGAGCCCUAGGACCAUGCCUCAGGACUACCUGGCAUGAUGACUCCUUGCUGUCCCCAGUCCACCUGGCCGUGCUGCUGCUCCAGUUUCAACUGUUCUGCCUGCGGCUUUGGAACCCUGACCUGUUCACCGGACGUGCUUGUUGCACCCUCGACAACUACUAUGAUUAUUAUUAUUAUUUGACCAUGCUGGUCAUUUAUGAACAUUUUAACAUCUUGACCAUGUUCUGUUAUAAUAUCCACCCUGCACAGCCAGAAGAGGACUGGCCAUCCCUCAUAGCCUGGUUCCUCUCUAGGUUUCUUCCUAGGUUUUUGGCCUUUCUAGGGAGUUUUUCCUAGCCACCGUGCUUCUUUCACAUGCAUUGCUUGCUGUUUGGGGUUUUAGGCUGGGUUUCUGUACAGCACUUUGAGAUAUCAGCUGAUGUACGAAGGGCUAUAUAAACACAUUUGAUUUGAUUUUCGGUCAAAAGAGAUGGUUGCAGCAACAUUAUGUACAAAACAAAGUUACACAUGUUGCAUGUGUGUGUGAUUAGUUGUGUUAGUGUGUUUUACCUGCUGAGCAAACAUGUUAGUGUGUCUGCUCUCACAGUGGGCCCACAGAGAGGGAGGAUCUACAGUGCUGUUAAUGGGG
Molecule: long non-coding RNA, 838 nt
Filed under: Salmo salar (Atlantic salmon)
Lineage: Eukaryota; Metazoa; Chordata; Actinopteri; Salmoniformes; Salmonidae
Description: lncRNA (ENSSSAG00000118576.1)
Source: RNAcentral